Molecule: ribosomal RNA, 229 nt
Filed under: uncultured bacterium
Lineage: Bacteria
Description: partial 16S ribosomal RNA
Rfam family: Bacterial small subunit ribosomal RNA
Source: RNAcentral
GAUCCUGGCUCAGAUUGAACGCUAGCGGCAUGCUUUACACAUGCAAGUCGAACGGCAGCACAGGGAGCUUGCUCCCGGGUGGCGAGUGGCGCACGGGUGAGUAAUACAUCGGAACGUGUCCUGUUGUGGGGGAUAACUGCUCGAAAGGUGGCUAAUACCGCAUGAGACCUGAGGGUGAAAGCGGGGAUCGCAAGACCUCGCGCAAUUGGAGCGGCCGAUGCCCGAUUAG